UAGGAUUAAAGGCAUGUGCCACCACGCCAGGU
Molecule: non-coding RNA, 32 nt
Filed under: Mus musculus (house mouse)
Lineage: Eukaryota; Metazoa; Chordata; Mammalia; Rodentia; Muridae
Source: RNAcentral